RNAcentral lists this ribosomal RNA (235 nucleotides) under uncultured bacterium. Its description in RNAcentral is "partial 16S ribosomal RNA". It matches the Rfam family "Bacterial small subunit ribosomal RNA", at positions 524 to 759 of the family's 1533-position model. The record is from RNAcentral.
UACGAAGGGGCUAGCGUUGCUCGGAAUCACUGGGCGUAAAGCGCACGUAGGCGGAUUGUUAAGUCAGGGGUGAAAUCCUGGAGCUCAACUCCAGAACUGCCUUUGAUACUGGCGAUCUUGAGUCCGGGAGAGGUGAGUGGAACUGCGAGUGUAGAGGUGAAAUUCGUAGAUAUUCGCAAGAACACCAGUGGCGAAGGCGGCUCACUGGCCCGGUACUGACGCUGAGGUGCGAAAG